AGUGAACGCUGGCGGUAGGCCUAACACAUGCAAGUCGAACGGCAGCACAGUAAGAGCUUGCUCUUACGGGUGGCGAGUGGCGGACGGGUGAGGAAUACAUCGGAAUCUACUUUUUCGUGGGGGAUAACGUAGGGAAACUUACGCUAAUACCGCAUACGACCUACGGGUGAAAGCAGGGGAUCUUCGGACCUUGCGCGAUUGAAUGAGCCGAUGUCGGAUUAGCUAGUUGGCGGGGUAAAGGCCCACCAAGGCGACGAUCCGUAGCUGGUCUGAGAGGAUGAUCAGCCACACUGGAACUGAGACACGGUCCAGACUCCUACGGGAGGCAGCAGUGUGGAAUAUUGGCCAAUGGGCGCAAGCCUGAUCCAGCCAUCCCGCGUGGGUGAAGAAGGCCUUCGGGUUGUAAAGCCCUUUUGUUGGGAAAGAAAAGCAGCAGGUUAAUACCCCGCUGUUCUGACGGUACCCAAAGAAUAAGCACCGGCUAACUUCGUG
RNAcentral lists this ribosomal RNA (492 nucleotides) under uncultured bacterium. RNAcentral's name for it is "partial 16S ribosomal RNA". It matches the Rfam family "Bacterial small subunit ribosomal RNA", at positions 29 to 507 of the family's 1533-position model. The record is from RNAcentral.